RNAcentral lists this ribosomal RNA (916 nucleotides) under uncultured bacterium. Its description in RNAcentral is "bacterial SSU rRNA". It matches the Rfam family "Bacterial small subunit ribosomal RNA", at positions 8 to 917 of the family's 1533-position model. The record is from RNAcentral.
CAGAGUUUGAUCCUGGCUCAGAUUGAACGCUGGCGGCAGGCCUAACACAUGCAAGUCGAGCGGAUGAAGGGAGCUUGCUUCCUGGAUUCAGCGGCGGACGGGUGAGUAAUGCCUAGGAAUCUGCCUGGUAGUGGGGGAUAACGUCCGGAAACGGGCGCUAAUACCGCAUACGUCCUGAGGGAGAAAGUGGGGGAUCUUCGGACCUCACGCUAUCAGAUGAGCCUAGGUCGGAUUAGCUAGUUGGUGGGGUAAAGGCCUACCAAGGCGACGAUCCGUAACUGGUCUGAGAGGAUGAUCAGUCACACUGGAACUGAGACACGGUCCAGACUCCUACGGGAGGCAGCAGUGGGGAAUAUUGGACAAUGGGCGAAAGCCUGAUCCAGCCAUGCCACGUGUGUGAAGAAGGUCUUCGGAUUGUAAAGCACUUUAAGUUGGGAGGAAGGGCAGUAAGUUAAUACCUUGCUGUUUUGACGUUACCAACAGAAUAAGCACCGGCUAACUUCGUGCCAGCAGCCGCGGUAAUACGAAGGGUGCAAGCGUUAAUCGGAAUUACUGGGCGUAAAGCGCGCGUAGGUGGUUCAGCAAGUUGGAUGUGAAAUCCCCGGGCUCAACCUGGGAACUGCAUCCAAAACUACUGAGCUAGAGUACGGUAGAGGGUGGUGGAAUUUCCUGUGUAGCGGUGAAAUGCGUAGAUAUAGGAAGGAACACCAGUGGCGAAGGCGACCACCUGGACUGAUACUGACACUGAGGUGCGAAAGCGUGGGGAGCAAAUAGGAUUAGAUACCCUGGUAGUCCACGCCGUAAACGAUGUCGACUAGCCGUUGGGAUCCUUGAGAUCUUAGUGGCGCAGCUAACGCGAUAAGUCGACCGCCUGGGGAGUACGGCCGCAAGGUUAAAACUCAAAGGAAUUGACGGU